Molecule: long non-coding RNA, 727 nt
Filed under: Nicotiana benthamiana
Lineage: Eukaryota; Viridiplantae; Streptophyta; Magnoliopsida; Solanales; Solanaceae
Description: long non-coding RNA (NBEN_LNC002476)
Source: RNAcentral
CGGUAGUUAACACUCUGAAGAUGGGAUCUUCUUUCUUCACAACACCAACCUGCAAAGGACCAGAAGAGAUUAUGAUAUGAAGCACUAUUGCCUCUUUUUCAUGUCUUUUGCACUACUGUAUUUCUUUUAAACACUCUGGGUGUGCUUUGCUUGAGCAGAGGGUCUACUGGAAAUAGCCUCUACCUUCGCUAGGUAGGGUUGAGGCUGCGUACACACUAUCCUCCCAGACUCCACUAGUGGGAUUAAACUGUUCUUUUUGUUGUUGUAAGCAGUGAAAAUAUGCAGUUUUAAAUACUAAGAAGCACUACAAUCCACGUAAGAAGACAAAAGUCAAAACAAUUGUGUGAAAAAGUUAUCAUGUCUAUAGUUCUGAAAUGAUUUGUUCUAUUGCUAGUUAUAUGAAGAAGAUAGUGUAACUGCACAACCAUAUCCAUUCAGGAAAUAAUGGAUAUUACGCAAAUAUCUUAAUGUCAUUAUCAUAUCUCAUGGCCGUGCAGUAGUAAUGCUUCCAGGUGCAACUCAAAAUUUGCAUAUAGAUCAACUCCCAAACAAGAAAAAGAAAAUGACUCACACCCUCCCCCUCAAGUGGUAAUCAACACUGGCUAUAAUAACUGCAAUAACCAAAUGGCGGGUGUAGAGAAAUAGACAAGUUACCUCAAUUUCACUGGCCUUAAAAUCCUCUUGCAGGACAGAUUGAAGAGCAGAAAUUGCAGUCUACAGAACAAAA